Molecule: ribosomal RNA, 448 nt
Filed under: uncultured Planctomycetota bacterium
Lineage: Bacteria; Pseudomonadati; Planctomycetota
Description: bacterial SSU rRNA
Rfam family: Bacterial small subunit ribosomal RNA
Source: RNAcentral
GCUUAAAGAGGGGUUAAUGUCCUAUCAGCUAGUUGGUGGGGUAAUGGCCUACCAAGGCAAAGACGGGUAGCCGGCUUGAGAGGGUGGUCGGCCACACUGGGACUGAGACACUGCCCAGACUCCUACGGGAGGCUGCAGUCGAGAAUCUUUCGCAAUGCCCGAAAGGGUGACGAAGCGACGCCGCGUGUGGGAAGAAGGCCUUCGGGUUGUAAACCACUGUCGGGAGUUAGGAAAUGCAAGAGCGUUAAUAGCGCACUUGCUUGACUAAGGCUCCAGAGGAAGCCACGGCUAACUCUGUGCCAGCAGCCGCGGUAACACAGAGGCGGCAAGCGUUGUUCGGAAUUAUUGGGCGUAAAGAGCACGUAGGCGGCCUUGCAAGUCAGUUGUGAAAGCCUUCCGCUUAACGGAAGAACGGCAUCUGAUACUACAGGGCUUGAGUACGGGAGGG